Gallus gallus (chicken) is the source of this 3538-nucleotide long non-coding RNA. The record is from Ensembl. Lineage: Eukaryota; Metazoa; Chordata; Aves; Galliformes; Phasianidae.
UCACAAUUUAGAUCAUUUAUUUUUAUGGUCAAAAUGUUUGUACAGUAGCAAAACCGUUUAGUGUAUCUCUACAACGGAAGAGUGCCUCAUUUUGCAGCUGCUCUGCCUUUCUUUAGUUGAGGCUUCAUGCAGAGUGGGUGCUUCAGAAACUUGGCAAACUGUUAGAUCAGCCAUGUGCUAGCCAGCAGUGCUUUCCCUGAUGUGUGAGUAUGGCGUGCCCACCACAAGAAGGCCUUGGGAAGCUCGUUCCAGGAUCACUCACUAGUAUAUCAGGUAAACCUGAGGGGAGAAAGAUUCUGCAGUUUCCCUUGAAUGGGAGAGCACACAGAUAUAAACGUACAAUUCAAGAGCCUCCUCAAACAAUGCUAUUAAUGUGCUGGUGGUGUUAUUUUUUUGUGUUAUUCAGGAAUGCUUCACUGAAUGUAAGGAAAACCAGCAAGUAAUGACAGUAUUUUAUACUGACAGAGGUGUAGGGUGGUCAGUGGAAUCUUCAGUAGCCUUCAUUGUGGUGUUGCCUGUGAAUAUUCAUUCACUGCAUCUGAGCCCAGUAAAAUAGUAAAUCUUAAGGAAAAAUAAUAUCGCUGCCUGCUUCCUCUAGUACUCUUCCACCAAAUUGCUAGGAGAGCAUGAGGAAAAGUACAGAAAAAAGAGAAAUUGUACGUGCAGAUCUCCUAUUAUAUCCACAGCAUGAGAUUUUGUGACCUAGGGCAGUAGCAUGGAGUUGAACUCAGGAGCUUUUCAGGAGGACCCAGAAUCUGACAGUGGACAUCUAGAACAGAGGACACCUUGGUGAGUACAAGUCUUUCGAUGUCUUUGGGGAUUUUCAGUGGCAAGAGAACAAACCAGAUGAACCAACAGCCAGUAUUUGGCUCACUGGGCUUUCUGUAGGUGUGAACACCACCUGUACCAGCAGCUAACGAUGGUGCCUCAUGCUGUUCACAAGAAGAAAGUGAGGUUUGGUGCCAUGAAUCCACCCACUGAGAAGAGUCCCACUACUACAGGAGGACUGUAGCAUAGGCAGAAGUACCAGUUUGGCCACAGGUUACUUCUCCCAUUGUAAAUUCACUCCUUGCUCAGGCUAUGCACGUGCACCAAAGCAGGUUCUGAAUUCUUUUUCAGUUUCCACUGAAUGUUUUUUUAUCCUCUCCGAGCUCUGUGAGAUUGGCAUUAUCCUGUAGCAGUGUCACAGCCUGCAAUCGUUUAAUGCCUCUUCUUGUGAGGCCAGGAUUCCACGCCCAAGUGCAUUUAGUAGGUCAGUACAGUAAUUUUAAAUGUCUUUCUUUCAGUCUUUUGCCAUCUUCAAUUAUACCUUUCCACCCUACUAUUUGUGUAAUUUGCUUCUGUCUGAAGUCUCUUUACUGUUGUUCUCUAUUGCACAGCGUGACAAAUUACCCAUCAAGCCGUAUCUUUUCAGCCCAGAAAUGCGCAGUAACACAGAGUCAUGGCAUUAUCACAUGUUGUGCACUUUAUUUCCUCACAGUUCAUUCAAGUGUGUCACUUUAUUUUCCUGCUUCCUUUUGUCAUCAUGAAGAUUAACCAUUUUUUUCUUCCUAAACUUUAGAAAGAAUUAGAAAUGCAUUACAUUGUAAGCCCAGAGCAACACCUAUACUAUCCCAUACAACCUGUCCUUGGCAAAAUUAUUCUCUGCAACUCUGAGCCUUGCAGAAGCUGGGGCUUUCAUCAUUAUUAUACAGCUGAAUAACCCUGGCCGUGGGCAAGAGAAUUAUUUGUAGCCCCUGGCCACCAAACAAAUUAAUUGUGAGACACCAUUCACUUUGACAGCGCACUCCAGCUCCUUCUGGGAGCUAUGAAACUCUCUGGGCCUCAUGUAUAUUGUGCCCAGGGUCCUUCUCUCCCUCCCUCUCUCUUUAAUUCAAGAUAAAUACGAGUAAUUGUAGAGCUUAUGCUGAGAUAUCUCCCAGGCAUUGCAAGGAUGUGUUCGAAAAAUCAAUUGUAUUGUUCACAUAGUCAGCAGGGCUGCAGCUGGUGUAUAAAAGGCAUCCUUAGAAACUGUGAUUUAAGAUGAUCUAGAUAAAGUUUGUUAUUAGAUUGUUUAAGGGCCCAGUAGGUCCUCCAACAUUAAUGUCUGAAGAGAGCCACAGAAGUAAAUUCAAACCUUUCCUCGAAAUGUACCUGAGAUGUGAGAUGGGAUUUGUUCAAGCAAAUAUGUCCAGUUCUCCUUUACAAUCCAUUUCAUAAUUUGUCAGUAUGAAUGCUAGGUGGGAAAAAUAGCACUUCUGUAAAACAGAGCAGAUGAUUAGGAAUUAACUAAACCUGUGGAGUUCAAUUUGGUUGGAGAAAACGUAAUUGAUGUUCAGAUUAACAAAAUGCUGACUGUUUGGUACCAUUGCAUUUUAUAAUUUUGGAAAAUGCUGAUGCAUAGGAAGGAAUAAGAGCAGAAUAUGAUAAACUGAAAUUGCUGUGGCGUUGAGGAUGCUAGGAGUCACUUGUAGUGCUAGUAGUCCCAUAACUUGAAAUAUGUCAGAUGCUGGGAGACCAAGCUUGGAUGUGCUGGAGGAGCUGAGCAUGAGCAAUAGGAGGUACACAUUAAGUUAGGCACCAAUCCCAAGUCUGGGCUCACCUAAUUUUCGGCACUAUUUCUGUCCUAUUUCACAACUAUACUGAGCCUUUCAUGUUGGCUGAUUAAAAAAAAAAAAAUCUUUUGUAUCACUUAACACACAAUGUAAUGCUAAUUCUUUUUUUCAAACAUCUUUACAGACACAAUGGGAACUUUAGUAUAUGCUAGUAAGAAAAAAUGCAUGACAUUUUUGUAAGAAGCCUGACUUUUAAAUGGAAAAAUAAAAUUUAUACAUUUUUGUAACUUCAUGUGAAAACUCUCAAAAUUGUUUUACGUGGACUAGAAGUUCUGACUGUUGCAGUUCAUUUACUUUGUAAUGUUCUCUAAUUAAUUUACUUUAGAGUGUCCUGCAGGAGCUGGUAAUAGAAAAUCCAUCUCCCCCUUAGAGAAAAUUGUUACUGCAGCUGAUAAACAGAAUUAUACAAGCUUUGUCAUACAAAUCACAUUAUAAAAGGUUCCAAAAAACUUGACAAUGUUGACAGUUGUUUUCAGCAAAUGGCUGCUUUACUGUAGCACUGUCAAUGUUGAUGUCCUUGUGCACAUGUAAAAGAGCAAUGUGAUUAAGGCAAGCUUGUCCAUGCUAGAUAUGAGCCAAGUUUUCAAUCUCCUCAUGGCACUGAAAGAUUGCUCAGCUGUUGCAGAUAAGGCAAGAAUAGCUAGCAGAUUUCUGCCAUUAAAAGAAAAAUAAAAUAAAUAAAAAAAAAUCCUUUACUUUGGGCAUGCAUGUAUAGGAAUUUGUAACAUCUGCUACUGACCUCAAGUUACAGAUAAGAAGAGCUCAUAUUUGUAACUCUAAUUGAUAUUACUCAGUUUAGAUGAUGUACUUCCAAGGAGAUUACUGAAGUAUCUUUGUAAACACAGAUUUAUCUAGACAGCAGUCUAAAGUAUGAUACACUUUUGUGAAGUGGUGAAUUAUCACCACUCUUCUCAUGCCACUUACCACUGCAGUUUACAUCCACC